AUAGAUACCCUGGUAGUCCACGCCGUAAACGAUGAGUGCUAAGUGUUAGAGGGUUUCCGCCCUUUAGUGCUGAAGUUAACGCAUUAAGCACUCCGCCUGGGGAGUACGGCCGCAAGGCUGAAACUCAAAGGAAUUGACGGGGGCCCGCACAAGCGGUGGAGCAUGUGGUUUAAUUCGAAGCAACGCGAAGAACCUUACCAGGUCUUGACAUCCUCUGACAACCCUAGAGAUAGGGCUUCUCCUUCGGGAGCAGAGUGACAGGUGGUGCAUGGUUGUCGUCAGCUCGUGUCGUGAGAUGUUGGGUUAAGUCCCGCAACGAGCGCAACCCUUGAUCUUAGUUGCCAUCAUUAAGUUGGGCACUCUAAGGUGACUGCCGGUGACAAACCGGAGGAAGGUGGGGAUGACGUCAAAUCAUCAUGCCCCUUAUGACCUGGGCUACACACGUGCUACAAUGGACGGUACAAAGAGCUGCAAGCCGCGAGGUGGAGCUAAUCUCAUAAAACCGUUCUCAGUUCGGA
This 518-nucleotide ribosomal RNA is filed under the name uncultured bacterium. Its description in RNAcentral is "bacterial SSU rRNA". It matches the Rfam family "Bacterial small subunit ribosomal RNA", at positions 778 to 1297 of the family's 1533-position model. The record is from RNAcentral.